ACAACAGUGACAUACUAUACUGUUUUAGACCCCAGGACAGGCUGAGCUGGAGAGAACCUGAUUACGGCAUGACAGAACAUUUGUCCUGACCUAUUAUACUUCUUCCUGAAAGCAGUUAUCAUCAAGCUAUUGAGGCUGUGUUUCCCUACUGCUUUGCCUGGCUGAAAGAGGAAGAAUCCAACAAAGACUUUGACAGCUGGUAUGAAACAUCUGGCAGAUUUCCAGAAAUUUUUCUGCACUCCACCGGGACAUCCAUGAUGACACAUUUUUCUGUGGAAGUUUUAUAAAACAUAGAUGAAAGCCCAAUCUCACAGAAUCAUAGAAUGCCAAAUCCUGCUGAUGUCAUUUCCAAAAUAUCUUCUAAAUCAGUCACCUCCUUUUUAGUUUCACUGAUACCUCCUUAGUGCAAGGCCAUCAUCACCUCUCCCCUACUAUUACAAUAGCCUUCCUAUUAAUCUCAGCGUUUCGAAUCUCUUUUGUCUCCCAGCCAUGCUUCAGACUUCUGCCCAAGUAAUCUUUCUAAUGAUAGACCUGACCCUGAUACACCUCUCUCAAAAAUUUUCAGGUUUCUGAGUUUGCUCUAAGAUCAAAUACAGACUCCCAAUCCUGCCAUUCAAGAGUCUCUACAAUUUGUCUCCAGCC
Molecule: long non-coding RNA, 642 nt
Filed under: Phascolarctos cinereus (koala)
Lineage: Eukaryota; Metazoa; Chordata; Mammalia; Diprotodontia; Phascolarctidae
Description: lncRNA (ENSPCIG00000022323.2)
Source: RNAcentral